Oncorhynchus tshawytscha (Chinook salmon) is the source of this 1327-nucleotide long non-coding RNA. RefSeq lists it as uncharacterized. The transcript is spliced from 3 exons. Lineage: Eukaryota; Metazoa; Chordata; Actinopteri; Salmoniformes; Salmonidae. The record is from RefSeq and is a predicted model, not a curated record.
CAUACACACUGUCUGCCAUCAGUUGAAACCGGGAUUCAUCCGUGAAGAGCACACUUCUCCAACAUACCAGUGGCCGUCUGUUACAACGCCAAACUGCAGUCAGGUCAAGACCCUGGUGAGGAUAAUGAGCACUCCACAUAGCUCACAAAUAAAUCUACAAUUUGAACAACUGUAGAAAGAUUUGUGAGCAACUGUUCAGAAAUCCCUAACAUUUACAACUGUGGAAUGUGCAUUUGCACAUUCAAAAAGUGAUUGUGGAUCUGUUUUAGGUGCUUACAGAAUACAAAAAAUAAUCCUUCCUGUUGAUGUAUUGUCUCCAUUCAUUAGGGUAAUAUUUGUGUCAUUUGACAAGCAGAGUGAUGACAUCAUGGCUGUGUCCUUUUUGGGAGAACACCUUCUAGCUAGAAGAAGAAAGAACAACUUCAUGAAAUGACAAACAUGGCAAUUGAUGCUUUGGCAGGACAAAUCACUCUUUUCCAAUCGGUGUGGAGGGGAAGGAGUUAACAAGUCAUCAGGAACAGCAACUGUGUGCUACUGGCUUGAGUUCCAGCUGCACCAUUGAGAGCAUUUUGACUGGCUGCAUCACCGCUUGGUAUGGCAACUUCUCGGCAUAGGGUACUGUGCACGGCUCAGUUCAUACCUUGGACUGGGACCCAGUCACCCAGUCACCUCUAUACCAGUUGGUGUCAGAGGAUGGCCUUCAAAAUGAUCAAAGACUCCAGCCAUUUAAGUCAUAGACUGUUCUUUCACUUACCGCACAGCAAGUGGUACCGCAGCACAAAGUCUGGGACCCAAAGGCUCCUGAACAGCUUCUACUCCCAAGCCAUAAGACUGCUAAAUAGUUAGUUAAACAGUUAGUCUAGGUAGCUAUUUGGUUAUCUGCAUUGACCCAUUUUUUAUUCCUAGUUAUAUGUACAUCAGUGGAGGCUCCUCAGUGGAGUAACGGCAAGACCUCACGGAAUUUCUUAAAAUGUAAAUAGUGAAACAUUACAAAAGCUAUGCUUUUUAGAUAAAACUAUAGUAAAUACAUUCACAUCACCAAAUAAUUUAUUAAAACACACUGUUUUGCAAUGAAAGUCUACACUAGCCUAAACAGCACUCUGUACAAUAGCACCAUUGUGUGGCUGGAGAGACAGCUAGUUUAUGUCCUCCUCUGGCUACAUUGACUUCAAUACAAAACCUAGGAGGCUCAUGGUUCUCACCCCCUUCCAAGGACAUACACAGUCAUUUUAACAACUUCCGGAGGGCGAUGUCCAACCUAUCAGAGCUCUUGCAGCAUCAACUGACAAGCUGUCCACCCAAUCAAAGGAUCCGAGAAUGGAUCUAG